Molecule: long non-coding RNA, 321 nt
Organism: Condylura cristata (star-nosed mole)
Lineage: Eukaryota; Metazoa; Chordata; Mammalia; Eulipotyphla; Talpidae
Exons: 3
Source: RefSeq, a predicted model, not a curated record
GCGGGGCACUCCAAGCACAGGCUGUCGGACGCCUCGGACUUGAAGAAUCCCGGCGAGCAGGCUGGCGGAAACGGCCAGAGCUCCCCACCUCGGAGCGAAGGGAUGAGCAACAUUCUGAAACAAACCCCAAGAGAGGGGAGAUGGAGCCCCACCUUUGUCAACAGCCAGAAAACCCCAAGACUAACUUCAGAGCUCCUGGGGUGCGUGUGCGGUACCCCUAACACAGGCUUCUCAAACCAGCUCCACUCAAAACAAAAAUAGCUCUCCCCGCCCCCAAAUCGGCAAGUAAAAAUGAGACUCCAGAAAGCAGGGCUGUGUUUG